Asparagus officinalis (garden asparagus) is the source of this 359-nucleotide long non-coding RNA. RefSeq lists it as uncharacterized. NCBI's taxonomy places the organism in Eukaryota, Viridiplantae, Streptophyta, Magnoliopsida, Asparagales, Asparagaceae. The record is from RefSeq and is a predicted model, not a curated record. The transcript has 2 exons.
GCCAGGAUCCUUCGAGGGGUCGAAGCAAUGCGGCAGCUUUCACGGCUUCUUUUUGAAACGACACCCAAUCCGAAGCUAAAGCGGGUUCUUUUUUUUUUUUUAAAAAAAACGCCACCUUUUAUUAUUUUAUAAAAAAAUCAAUUAAUUAAUCGAUCCAUUAAUUUUUGAAUUACUGUUUUCGAUGCUUCUGUUCGAACCUUUGGGCCAUCGAUGAACUGCUGCUGCUCUGUUCAGUUACUGCGAGCAUUUGGCCCUCAAUCGAUCCGCGAGCUCCAAAGCCAUUGAAACUGCAAGUCAGUGGAAAUGGAGACGAACUCUUCAACAUCAACAAAGAUGGCUCCUGCCGAGUCAUCAGAAAA